Molecule: non-coding RNA, 77 nt
Organism: Podarcis lilfordi (Lilford's wall lizard)
Lineage: Eukaryota; Metazoa; Chordata; Lepidosauria; Squamata; Lacertidae
Source: the annotation of a GenBank genome assembly
GGAAUAUAGCUCAGUUGGUUAGAGCGUGGUGCUGAUGACGCCAGGGACGCUGGGAUCUGGGACAGCGGCAUAUUCCU